RNAcentral lists this ribosomal RNA (253 nucleotides) under uncultured bacterium. RNAcentral describes it as "partial 16S ribosomal RNA". It matches the Rfam family "Bacterial small subunit ribosomal RNA", at positions 524 to 776 of the family's 1533-position model. The record is from RNAcentral.
UACGUAGGGUGCGAGCGUUAAUCGGAAUUACUGGGCGUAAAGCGUGCGCAGGCGGCUUCUCAAGUCAGGGGUGAAAGCCCAGAGCUCAACUCUGGAAUUGCCUUUGAGACUGAGUGGCUUGAGUACGGGAGAGGUGAGUGGAAUUCCCAGUGUAGAGGUGAAAUUCGUAGAUAUUGGGAAGAACACCGGUGGCGAAGGCGGCUCACUGGCCCGUAACUGACGCUCAUGCACGACAGCGUGGGGAUCAAACAGG